RNAcentral lists this ribosomal RNA (200 nucleotides) under uncultured Syntrophaceae bacterium. RNAcentral's name for it is "partial 16S ribosomal RNA". It matches the Rfam family "Bacterial small subunit ribosomal RNA", at positions 1183 to 1382 of the family's 1533-position model. Lineage: Bacteria; Pseudomonadati; Thermodesulfobacteriota; Syntrophia; Syntrophales; Syntrophaceae. The record is from RNAcentral.
CGUCAAGUCCUCAUGGCCUUUAUGCCCAGGGCUACACACGUGCUACAAUGGGCGGUACAAAGAGAAAGCAACCUCGCGAGGGUGAGCAAAUCUCAAAAGCCGUUCUCAGUUCGGAUUGAAGUCUGCAACUCGACUUCAUGAAGUCGGAAUCGCUAGUAAUCGCGGAUCAGCAUGCCGCGGUGAAUACGUUCCCGGGCCUU